UACAUGUUCAAGUACGACAGUGUUCACGGUCAAUGGAAACACAAUGAACUCAAGAUCAAGGAUGAGAAGACCCUUCUCUUCGGUGAGAAGCCAGUCACUGUUUUCGGCAUCAGGUA
RNAcentral lists this small RNA (116 nucleotides) under Arabidopsis thaliana (thale cress). Its description in RNAcentral is "ATSL131390". The record is from RNAcentral. Lineage: Eukaryota; Viridiplantae; Streptophyta; Magnoliopsida; Brassicales; Brassicaceae.